UGGUAAUGCCGGAUGCUCCGACUCCUCGCAUGGGGUGUCGGGAAAGAUUCAUCGGUAUGGGAUGGGGUCGCGUCCUAUCAGGUAGUCGGCGGGGUAACGGCCCACCGAGCCUACGACGGGUAGCCGGCCUGAGAGGGCGACCGGCCACAUUGGGACUGAGAUACGGCCCAGACUCCUACGGGAGGCAGCAGUGGGGAAUAUUGCACAAUGGGCGCAAGCCUGAUGCAGCGACGCCGCGUGCGGGAUGACGGCCUUCGGGUUGUAAACCGCUUUUGAUCGGGAGCAAGCCUUCGGGUGAGUGUACCUUUCGAAUAAGCACCGGCUAACUACGUGCCAGCAGCCGCGGUAAUACGUAGGGUGCAAGCGUUAUCCGGAAUUAUUGGGCGUAAAGGGCUCGUAGGCGGUUCGUCGCGUCCGGUGUGAAAGUCCAUCGCUUAACGGUGGAUCUGCGCCGGGUACGGGCGGGCUGGAGUGCGGUAGGGGAGACUGGAAUUCCCGGUGUAACGGUGGAAUGUGUAGAUAUC
This 524-nucleotide ribosomal RNA is filed under the name Bifidobacterium pseudocatenulatum. Its description in RNAcentral is "bacterial SSU rRNA". It matches the Rfam family "Bacterial small subunit ribosomal RNA", at positions 161 to 698 of the family's 1533-position model. Lineage: Bacteria; Bacillati; Actinomycetota; Actinomycetes; Bifidobacteriales; Bifidobacteriaceae. The record is from RNAcentral.